CCCUUAGAUGUUCUGGGCGGCCCGCGCACUACAAUGGCGCUUUCAGCGAGUUCCUAUGUUGAAUUUUCCUGGGCAUUCUUGGAAGCGGCGUCUUGACUUGGGAUAGAUCCUUGUAAUUGUUGGUUUUGAACGAGGAAUUCCUUGUAAUCGCGGUUGAUCAGCUCGCGUUGAAUACGUCCCUGCCCUUUGUACACACCGCCCGUCGCUCCUACCGAUGAAUCGUCCGGUGAAGUUCACAGAGUGGCGGUUCGUGGAGUUGCUCGCGAAGUGAAAUGGACCUCACGAUUUAGAGGAAGGAGAAGUCGUAACA
RNAcentral lists this ribosomal RNA (310 nucleotides) under uncultured eukaryote. RNAcentral's name for it is "partial 18S ribosomal RNA". It matches the Rfam family "Eukaryotic small subunit ribosomal RNA", at positions 1470 to 1796 of the family's 1831-position model. The record is from RNAcentral.